RNAcentral lists this ribosomal RNA (377 nucleotides) under uncultured delta proteobacterium. RNAcentral describes it as "bacterial SSU rRNA". It matches the Rfam family "Bacterial small subunit ribosomal RNA", at positions 521 to 896 of the family's 1533-position model. Lineage: Bacteria; Deltaproteobacteria. The record is from RNAcentral.
UAAUACGGAGGGUGCAAACGUUGUUCGGAAUUAUUGGGCGUAAAGGGCGCGUAGGCGGCCGGGUAUGUCUGGUGUGAAAUCCCAUCUCUCAAGGAUGGAACUGCGCUGGAAACUGCACGGCUAGAGUACUGGAGGGGGUGGCGGAAUUCCCGGUGUAGAGGUGAAAUUCGUAGAUAUCGGGAGGAACACCCGCGGCGAAGGCGGCCACCUGGACAGUUACUGACGCUGAUGCGCGAAAGUGUGGGGAGCAAACAGGAUUAGAUACCCUGGUAGUCCACACCGUAAACGAUGGGUGCUAGGUGUUGCGGGUAUUGACCCCUGCAGUGCCGAAGUUAACGCAUUAAGCACCCCGCCUGGGGACUACGGCCGCAAGGCUA